RNAcentral lists this ribosomal RNA (309 nucleotides) under uncultured marine bacterium. Its description in RNAcentral is "bacterial SSU rRNA". It matches the Rfam family "Bacterial small subunit ribosomal RNA", at positions 1 to 344 of the family's 1533-position model. The record is from RNAcentral.
UAGAGUUUGAUCAUGGCUCAGAACGAACGCUGGCGGCAGGCCUAACACAUGCGAGUCGAGCGCUACCUUCGGGUGGAGCGGCGGACGGGUUAGUAACGCGUGGGAAUAUACCCAGUUCUAAAAAAUAGCCACUGGAAACGGUGAGUAAUACCUUAUACGCCCUCCGGGGGAAAGAUUUAUCGGAAUUGGAUUAGCCCGCGUUAGAUUAGAUAGUUGGUGGGGUAAUGGCCUACCAAGUCUACGAUCUAUAGCUGGUUUGAGAGGAUGAUCAGCAACACUGGGACUGAGACACGGCCCAGACUCCUACGG